UCGGGCUUAGUGAUCCGGUGGUUCCGCAUGGAAGGGCCAUCGCUCAACGGAUAAAAGCUACCCCGGGGAUAACAGGCUUAUCUCCCCCAAGAGUCCACAUCGACGGGGAGGUUUGGCACCUCGAUGUCGGCUCAUCGCAUCCUGGGGCUGUAGUCGGUCCCAAGGGUUGGGCUGUUCGCCCAUUAAAGCGGUACGCGAGCUGGGUUCAGAACGUCGUGAGACAGUUCGGUCCCUAUCCGUCGUGGGCGUAGGAAAUUUGAGAGGAGCUGUCCUUAGUACGAGAGGACCGGGAUGGACGCACCGCUGGUGUACCAGUUGUUCUGCCAAGGGCAUAGCUGGGUAGCUAUGUGCGGAAGGGAUAAGUGCUGAAAGCAUCUAAGCAUGAAGCCCCCCUCAAGAUGAGAUUUCCCAUAGCGUAAGCUAGUAAGAUCCCUGAAAGAUGAUCAGGUUGAUAGGUUCGAGGUGGAAGCAUGGUGACAUGUGGAGCUGACGAAUACUAAUAGAUCGAGGACUUAACCAUAUAA
This 524-nucleotide ribosomal RNA is filed under the name Cereibacter sphaeroides. RNAcentral describes it as "Rhodobacter sphaeroides partial 23S ribosomal RNA". It matches the Rfam family "Bacterial large subunit ribosomal RNA", at positions 2406 to 2925 of the family's 2925-position model. The record is from RNAcentral. Lineage: Bacteria; Pseudomonadati; Pseudomonadota; Alphaproteobacteria; Rhodobacterales; Paracoccaceae.